GAAGUACUCAAACAGACACUACCCGAAAUUAAAAGAUCUAAGUGUAUUUUAAGUUGUUAGACUACUUGUUACAAUCUGUAGCAAUAGGUUUUUAAAAUUUUACCUUAGAGGUGAAAGGCUUUCAAUUUUAUUGAUAACUGGAUAAAUGUUAAAUAUAUUAAGUUUAAAACAAACUUACAAAGUGAUAAGAUUUUGUAAGAAAUAAUUUUUUGUGUCUCAAUUACUGCCAAUAAUUAACAAUUACCGGCGGAUUUGUAUAAAUUUAACACUAUUACACUACAGUAAUUAUUCAACAACAUUUUAUUUAACUUAAUUAUAAUUUAGUAAAAUUAAUAAUGUAUAAAUAAGUAUAUAUAAUAUAAAUUUAGGUUAAGGAACUCGGCAAUUUAAGUAUACGACUGUUUAACAAAAACAUAGCCGGUAGUUAUUAAAUUAUCGGUGAUACCUGCCCAGUGAUAUUUUAACGGCCGCAGUACUAUGACUGUGCAAAGGUAGCAUAAUCAUUUGGCUUUUAAUUGAAGUCUAGUAUGAAAGGACAAACGUAGACAAACUGUCUCAAUAAUAAAUUUAUCUAAAUUAUUUAUAAGGUGAAAAUACCUUAAGUAUAAAAAAAAGACGAGAAGACCCUUAGAAUUUUAAGAAGACCCAUGUUUACACUUGGUAUGAUUUUUGUUGGGGCAACAUUUUUUCAGAUAAAUAAAAGCUAACUUUAAAUAUACAACGAAUAAUUUUAAUAAAGUAUAAAUUACCUAAGGGAUAACAGCAUAAUUUUAAGUAAAGAUUGUGACCUCGAUGUUGGACUAGGAACUAUUAAGGCUAGUCGUUUUAAUAUAAUAGGUUCUGUUCGAACUUUAAUUCCUA
Molecule: ribosomal RNA, 861 nt
Filed under: Montenegrina skipetarica gurelurensis
Lineage: Eukaryota; Metazoa; Mollusca; Gastropoda; Stylommatophora; Clausiliidae
Description: partial 16S ribosomal RNA
Rfam family: Archaeal large subunit ribosomal RNA (bases 355-601)
Source: RNAcentral